CUACGGGUUGCUCCAGCUAAGAAUCUUCCGCAAUGGACGAAAGUCUGACGGAGCGAUGCCGCGUGGAUGAAGAAUGUCGAGAGAUUGUAAAAUCCUUUUAUGAGUGAGGAAUAACGGCACUAGGAAAUGAGUGCUGGAUGACGUUAGCUCAUGAAUAAGCUCCGGCAAUUACGUGCCAGCAGCCGCGGUAACACGUAAGGAGCGAGCGUUGUUCGGAAUUAUUGGGCGUAAAGGGCGUGUAGGCGGUUAAUUAAGUCUUCUUUGAAAGACCGGUGCUCAACACCGGAACCGGGGGAGAAACUGAUUAACUAGAAUCCGGUAGGGAAAUGUGGAAUUCCUAGUGUAGGGGUGAAAUCUGUUGAUAUUAGGAAGAACACCAAUGGCGAAGGCAACAUUUUGGGACUGGAUUGACGCUGAGGCGCGAAAGCAUAGGGAGCAAACAGGAUUAGAUACCCUCGUAGUC
RNAcentral lists this ribosomal RNA (463 nucleotides) under uncultured bacterium. Its description in RNAcentral is "partial 16S ribosomal RNA". It matches the Rfam family "Bacterial small subunit ribosomal RNA", at positions 339 to 795 of the family's 1533-position model. The record is from RNAcentral.